This is a long non-coding RNA of Homo sapiens (human), 869 nucleotides long. Ensembl annotates it as POT1 antisense RNA 1. Its record names the gene POT1-AS1. Lineage: Eukaryota; Metazoa; Chordata; Mammalia; Primates; Hominidae. The record is from Ensembl.
GGUGGUCCAGGGGACAAUAUCUUCUAACACAUUAUCUUGUUUGACUUUAUAUUCAACAGUGACAUUUGCAGGUACAUGUGCAAGGAAUAUAUGAAAAAGAAUGUUAUACUGGAGGACUUUCUCUUUGGAAUUGCUGUGCAAAUAAGGUCACUGGGUAAUAGGAUGUAAAGAGGAGUUCUCAAAACAACCUCACAGACCCAGAAUAAUCAAAACAAUUGAAGACUUAACUUCAAUUUCAAAACUUACCACAGAGCAAGAGUAAUCAAGACAGUAUGGUACUUCCCUAAGGACAAACAUAUAUGAAUGAAAGAGAAACCAGAUUUUGGAAAUUUUAAAGAGUGUCAAGACCAUUCAGCAAGGAAUGAAUAGUCUUUUCAACAAAUUGUGAGACAAUAGAUAUUCACAUGCAAAAAAUGUACCUGGACUCCUACCUCACGCCAUAUAAAAAUAUUAACUCAAAAUGGAUUAUAGGGAGGAAGUGGAGGAAGAUGACCAGAAAAAACCUUCCAGUGAUUAUCCCUAACUUGCCCUGCAGGAAGACCAAAUUGAACAACUAUCCACAAAGGAAAGCACCAUCAUAUGAGGCAAAAAUCAGAUAUGUCCUGAGAGUUUCUGAAGUUAUUUAACUGGUUCAAUGAGAAUUUAAUCAAGGUCUGCUUUAUAUCAAAAUUUAUGAUUUUUAUUCAAUGCCAUACAUAGAAUUUGUUCACAGUUAUCAUCAAACACACUCAUCCUUUUUGUGCCAAGAUGGAGAACCUGGCUGAGAAGAUAUGUACCUAUAAAAAGGUCCACUUAGAGGCAACUCUUUACAUUGACUACAAAGAUAAAGAACAAUGAGCAAUUAAAGAACAUUGGUUUUGGGGAAAACA